CAACUCAGAAGUGGCUCCGAGACAAGUCUCUGAAUGUUCUUGAGUGGCCCAGCCAGGGCCCGGACUUAAGCCAGAUCAAACAUCUCUGGAAGAGCCCUGAAAAUAGCUGUGCAGUGACAAUCCUCAUCCAACCUGACAGAGCUUGAGAGGAUCUGCAGAGAAGAAUGGGAGAAACUCCCCAAAGAAUAAGGCUGCAACGUAUCAAAAUGUGGAAAAAGUGAAGGCGUCUGAAUACUUUCCGAAUGCACUGUACGUGGACAUCCCAUUGCUCCCAAGGGACUCAAGAGGAUUAUGUCAAAGGACCUGAGCCCUAGGACCAUGCCUCAGGACUACCUGGCAUGAUGACUCCUUGCUGUCCCCAGUCCACCUGGCCGUGCUACUGCUCCAGUUUCAACUGUUCUGCCUGUGAUUAUUAUUAUUUGACCAUGCUGGUCAUUUAUGAACAUUUGAACAUCUUGGCCAUGUUCUGUUAUAAUCUCCACCCGGCACAGCCAGAAGAGGACUGGCCACCCCACAUAGCCUGGUUCCUCUCUAGGUUUCUUCCUAGGUUUUGGCCUUUCUAGGGAGUUUUCCUAGCCACUGUGCUUCUACACCUGCAUUGCUUGCUGUUUGGGGUUUUAGACUGGGUUUCUGUACAGCACUUUGAUAUAUCAGCUGAUGUAAGAAGGGCUAUAUAAAUACAUUUGAUUUGAUUUGACUGUGUUCUUGGGGACCUUCAAUGCUGCAGAAAUGUUUUGGUACCCUUCCCCAGAUCUGUGCCUCAACACAAUCCUGUCUCGGAGCUCUACGGACAAUUCCUUCAACCUUAUGGCUUGGUUUUUACUCUGACAUAACCUGUUAACUGUGGGACCUUAUAUAGACAGGUAUGUGCCUUAGCAAAUCAUGUCAAACCAAUUGAAUUUACCACAGGUGGACUCCAAUCAAGUUGUAGAAACAUCUAAAGGAUAAUCAAUAGAAACAGUAUGCAC
Molecule: long non-coding RNA, 968 nt
Organism: Oncorhynchus tshawytscha (Chinook salmon)
Lineage: Eukaryota; Metazoa; Chordata; Actinopteri; Salmoniformes; Salmonidae
Source: Ensembl